UCUGUUCUGAAAAGGCCCCCGCUGUUCAGUGGCCCCCGGGAGUUACUGAUUAGCGUGUGCGACCGCGGCCCCGCGGCGCCUCCCCUUGGCUAAAGAGAACGGUGCGCAGCCUCGGCCAUCGCCCCGCGCGGUGUCGGGCCCCUGCGAGGGAACGAAUAAUAAGGAUCAUUAAGCCCCUCUGAAACCUCCCCAGACCCUUAAAGCCGCACCACCCUACCCGGGCAGCCUUGGAGGCGAGGAGGACCCUAGGGUGAACAGCUAUGGCUAGUGUGUCUGUGUACGUGCGCGCGCCCGUGAGCGCGCGCGCGAGCGUGCGUGUGUGGCUUCGUCUCAGGCUACCCAUCUGGGUUACCGCAGUAGAGCCGAGGAGGGAAUGGGGGUGGUAGGGGGAGAAGGCUAUUCUUGUCUUCUAUUUGAAUUAAGAAUUCAGUUUAAAAAUUGGGAUAAGGAGCAAAAUGAGAAAAAAACCUAAACGCCCCUCCCACCCCCGCAGGGAGCUUUAAUUCUGGGGCGGCGCAGACCACACUUCUCUGCGGACCGCGCCCGGGGGUUGGGCGCCCACCGCGCUUGCUGGCGAAGUUCUGCAGCCGCGUCUAGGAGAGCCUGGGCCUUGUGGCUCGGAGGCUCCGCGACGCACGCCCCUUCUCGCGCUCCGCCCCGCGGUCACGGGCCCACGCCGACCUCUGCAGCCGCGCCGCCCACCGCUUCCUCGCCCCGGGGCGUAAACCCGAAACCACCCGGUCCUGGGGCAUCGGCCUGCGUCCUGGCCGGUGGCCCGUCCCUCCGGAGCAUUCAGGGACGGGCUGGGGGGUGGCGGCCGACCGAGCUGCGCUCCCGACGCGUUGCCGCCUGUAUUUGUUUCGUGACCUUGACCACGUCCCAGCCCUAACCUCCUCAAAGUCACAACUGGGAUAGUAAACCUUGCGGGGUUCGCCCGCUGGGUGGUGGGGUAAUAUAUUCCGGUGGGGAGGAAGGGGGCUUGGCGGAGAGACUGUCAACUAUCCCGCUGUAUGUCUGUUUUCAGCCCGCCCCAAAUUUUGAGGUAAUUCAGGCCCUGGCCUGCGACCUCCUCCAGGAAGGGGGCUCAUGGGCGUUUAGGCUCCGCGGAGCCCGCCAUACUGGAGGCGGGUGGGCGCAGGCGGAGCGCCAGGUGGGGACACAGGGCGCCUUUGGCAGCGUCGGCUGCACCGCCCCAUCCCGGCCCGAGGAGGAGCAGCCUCGCCCGGCACGUCCCGCAGGCUCGGGCCCAGCUUCGGCCCCAGCUUCGGCCCCGCGCCCGGUACUCGGCUCAGAGCUGACCCCUCCACCUCGCUGCCGCGGGCAGGAGCCGCGGAACUCCAAAGACCCAGGCGGGAGCAGGAGCUGGGCGCCGGCCGACGCAACUCAGGCUGAGAGGGAAGUCGCUUAUGUUGUCCGGAUCUGCGGGCGCGACGAAGGCGACCCCGAGUCGCGCAGGGGACCCAGCCUCAGAGAAGGCAUUGGCUUCUGAGUCUGUCAAACCUAAACGGAGAGGCUCUAAAGGAAGAAGUCUCCCAACCCUUCGCAAAAAUAAAAACCAUCUGGAAAAGAAAGCAUCUACUGGAUGGAAGGAGACAAUUGCAAAUGAAAGAUUCGCUAGCAAUAGAAUUCAAAGGACUAAAGAAUCUGUGUGAUGCUACAGAUGAAAGCUCUAUCCAGCAAUAUAGUAUUCAAGAGUACUACUACUUUUGGGCUUCAGAUCAAGUAAGAAUACCAAAGUUUGGACUUGAAGAUCUGCUAGUACAGAAUUGAUGUAGAGGAGUAUGGCAACAUCGGAAGUUGUGUGUUAAAGCUGGUGGAGCCACAACAUGGAAGGAGCCUAGGAUCCUGAAUCAGUGCCCAGAGCUUGUCCAAUUUCAGUUUUUCUUUUACUGAGGCCAUGGAUCCCCCCCAUCCCCACCUUGACACCGGAAUUCUGCCUAAAAUGAAACAGCAACAGAACAGAGGUCAAGAACUUAGAAAGAUUCAUAUGGAAGAAACCAGCAUCCAGAAUUUGGAUCGAAUUUGAAGAAAAGGAAUCAUUUUCUCAACUGUGACAAUGCUUGAAACAACUUCUUGAACUCAUUUAGCUGUCGCUGCCACUGAUCCUAUUGUUUUGUUUUUUACAUCAUCAGAUUUUGAUCAAAGGGUUCACAAAAAUUAGAAAUACAGAGAGCAGAACACGCUGUGCGUCAGCUGCUGUAGAGAACAGAUGAAACAAACCCCGGGGUUUAUCGCGGGCCUGGGACUAACCCAGCCAGCAGCUUCCAAUAGAGCAAAGUCGCAAAUAAUUUCAAAUCCUUUUUUUGAGCUUUUGUGAAAAUAAAGCUGGGUGCACACUAGAUCAACAAGCACUCUCCAAGAUGCAGGACAACCCAAAGAAGACCCUGUUAUCUGGCUAGAUCAAAUGCUGCUGUUUCAACAUUAGAUUGUAUAAUAAAUGUAAGCGACAAAAUAAGGAAUGAACUUUUUCAUGAGUUCUGAAAUGAUUCUACUUGUGUCCUUUUCUACCAUGAUUAUCAAGGAGUGUGGUCAUCUCAUUUGUAGAGGUUUUACAAGCGUUUUUGGUACAACUAAUGCCUGUUCUUUUUUUUUUCUUUUGAAAACGGACAAUACAGAGAAGCAAUUAGAAACUGUUGAUGACCUUUGUCUCUAAGAAUGUAUAUUGCUAAUUUUGAGAUAUUCUAUUCUGGUAUUUUUACUAUAGAUUGUCAUAUACAGUUAACGUUAAACAUAAGUAUGUACUAUCUGAUAUUUAAGAAGCAUGUAAGCCAUGAGGUGUAAUAAUAAAAUGCAUCCCUGAAAAUAAACUCAAACCAGGGACCAAAGAGUCAUUGCUAAUUUGGCACUUUCCCCUGGAUUCCUCCCCUACUAUUUGCCUGCUUUGCUACCUAGUCCUAAACCUAAGGGUAACCUUUAUCCAGAGGUUCCCAUUUGGCGAUAAUUUUAUCUCUCAAGAGACUUUCUGCAAUUUUGGACACAUUUUUGGUUUUCGAAAGAGGAGUGGGGUUUACAACCUGCGUCUAAUGAGUAGAGACCUGGGCUGUCGCUGAACAUCCAACAAGGCAUAGGUCAAUCACUGACAACCAGGUUACCACUUCUGUUGUCAAUGGGACUAACGUGGAGAAACCCUGUCUCUUCCUGUGUGUUGGAUUUAUCACGACCCUGCUUAAAACAAUAGUUUUGUCACACAAAUGAUCUAAGUAAUUUAUCAUUUAAUUUUGCUGGUUUGGGGGGCACCUGGGUGGCUCAGUCGUUAAGUGUCUGCCU
RNA transcript from Lutra lutra (Eurasian river otter), 3267 nucleotides. RefSeq lists it as uncharacterized. The transcript has 6 exons. The record is from RefSeq and is a predicted model, not a curated record. NCBI's taxonomy places the organism in Eukaryota, Metazoa, Chordata, Mammalia, Carnivora, Mustelidae.